GACGAACGCUGGCGGCGUGCUUAACACAUGCAAGUCGAACGGAAAGGCCCUGCUUUUGUGGGGUGCUCGAGUGGCGAACGGGUGAGUAACACGUGAGUAACCUGCCCUUGACUUUGGGAUAACUUCAGGAAACUGGGGCUAAUACCGGAUAGGAGCUCCUGCUGCAUGGUGGGGGUUGGAAAGUUUCGGCGGAUGGGGUUGGACUCGCGGCCUGUCAGCUUGCGGGUGGGGUAGUGGCUUACCAAGGCUUUGACGGGUAGCCGGCCUGAGAGGGUGGCCGGCCACAUUGGGACUGAGAUACGGCCCAGACUCCUACGGGAGGCAGCAGUGGGGUAUAUUGCACAAUGGGCGGAGGCCUGAUGCAGCAACGCCGCGUGCGGGAUGACGGCCUGCGGGUUGUAAUCCGCAUUCGCCUGUGACGAAGCGUGAGUGACGGUAAUGGGUAAAGAAGCACCGGCUAACUUCGUG
Molecule: ribosomal RNA, 468 nt
Filed under: uncultured bacterium
Lineage: Bacteria
Description: partial 16S ribosomal RNA
Rfam family: Bacterial small subunit ribosomal RNA
Source: RNAcentral